Molecule: ribosomal RNA, 304 nt
Filed under: Elphidium sp. S7
Lineage: Eukaryota; Foraminifera; Rotaliida; Elphidiidae
Description: SSU rRNA
Rfam family: Eukaryotic small subunit ribosomal RNA
Source: RNAcentral
UUGACUCACGCAGGAAUCUUACCGGGUCCGGACACACUGAGGAUUGACAGAUACAGUGAAAAAUAUGAUAGCUCUUUCAUAAUUAUGUGAUAGGUGGUGCAUGGCCGUUCUUAGUUCGUGGAGUGAUCUGUCUGCUUAAUUGCGUUGGUAUAUAUAAUGCAUGUUAAUUGCAUUUUUACCAUGCAACGAACGUGACCGCAACCUCUUGUUGCACUAUAGCUUCUCAUGGUGCAAAACUAGAGGGACCGCUGUAUUUAUUUCUUUUAGCCAGAGGAAGGAUGCGGCAAUAACAGGUCUGUGAUGC